This 104-nucleotide ribosomal RNA is filed under the name uncultured bacterium. RNAcentral describes it as "partial 16S ribosomal RNA". It matches the Rfam family "Bacterial small subunit ribosomal RNA", at positions 1379 to 1482 of the family's 1533-position model. The record is from RNAcentral.
CCUUGUACACACCGCCCGUCACACCAUGGGAGUUGGUUCUACCCGAAGACGGUGCGCUAACCGCAAGGAGGCAGCCGGCCACGGUAAGGUCAGCGACUGGGGUG